RNAcentral lists this unclassified non-coding RNA (345 nucleotides) under soil metagenome. RNAcentral describes it as "partial contains 5.8S ribosomal RNA, internal transcribed spacer 2, and large subunit ribosomal RNA". The stretch from base 1 to 119 matches the Rfam family "5.8S ribosomal RNA", at positions 35 to 154 of the family's 154-position model. The record is from RNAcentral.
GAUGAAGAACGCAGCGAAAUGCGAUACGUAAUGUGAAUUGCAAAUUCAGUGAAUCAUCGAGUCGUUGAACGCACAUUGCGCCCCCUGGUAUUCCGGGGGGCAUGCCUGUCCGAGCGUCAUUGCUGCCCUCAAGCACGGCUUGUGUGUUGGGCCCCGUCCUCCGAUCCCGGGGGACGGGCCCGAAAGGCAGCGGCGGCACCGCGUCCGGUCCUCGAGCGUAUGGGGCUUUGUCACCCACUCUGUAGGCCCGGCCGGCGCUUGCCGAUCAACCCAAAUUUUUAUCCAGGUUGACCUCGGAUCAGGUAGGGAUACCCGCUGAACUUAAGCAUAUCAAUAAGCGGAGGA